Molecule: long non-coding RNA, 1483 nt
Organism: Cyprinus carpio carpio
Lineage: Eukaryota; Metazoa; Chordata; Actinopteri; Cypriniformes; Cyprinidae
Source: Ensembl
UUUGUAAUAUGACAUGUUGUCAAGCCAUGGUGACAUUUUCUUGACAAAGUGCUGGUUCAUCUAACUAUAGUUAUAUUUUUAAUUAUUAACCAGUUCCUUUUUUUUUUCUUUAGAACUAAGAAAUUACAGAGAAUGCUGACAGUAAGGUUUCCAUGCCACAAAAGCCAAAAGUAUUUUUCCAGCAAAAUGUCAACUUUGCAUCCCUCUACAUUCUGUUGUGCCUGAUGCCAUCAUAUUUUCUCAUAUCAGAGUUUUUGAAAUUGGCCAGGCAGUUCCAGACAAAAACACAUUUGUAGCUGGGCCCGAUGACAGAAGUAGCUGUGGCUUCCAGCUGUGUGUUAACACAAUAGCCUUAACUCUUUGGCCGGACUCUGGAUGGGUCCCUGGGGAACAGCUCUGCUUUUUAAAGCCACAGGAGCAGUCCCAGGUAUCACAAUGAGGAAUGCUGUUUGUAACUGUUCUGGAAAACAGCUGAGAGGAACACAGCGGAGGACAUGAGACGUUUGAAGAGCUAUCUUAAGUGGUGAUGGGGAGGUGGAGUUUCCAGGAAGAUGGACAUAAACCAAAGCAUCGCUGACAACAUUAACAUGACCUGCCACAGCAUCGCAGUUUUAAGCUGAAAUUACAUAUAACACACACACACACACACACACACACACACACACACACACACACACACACAAGAUGACAUACACCCUUACAAAUAUGUCCACUGUGCAAACAUAUUUGCUGUUAUAUUGAAAAAUGCUCUAAACUUGACAGUGAAACACUUCCUUUUUUUCCUUGUCCUUUUUUGCACUUAAAUUCUGAAGUCUCCCUUUGAGAGCUAAAAUGUGCAAGUGCUCUCACUCCAAGCCAACAUCUCUAAGUGUUACAUAUUUGUGGUUGCACUGGAAAACCACAAUUUAUGAAUUUUGUUGAAUUACUGAAUGUUGAGUAUUUGUCAACUUAGUUAAGUAAAUCUCAGACUGCCAGUGACCAAAGUCCAGACCUGAAGCAAGAACAAGUGUAGUUAUUUAAUUAGCACAGUUACCAAAAACUGUAUCCUAGGUCAAAUCUAUACUGAAGUGAUUAGGAUUUUUAAUUAUAAAUAAAGUCAAACCAAUAUUUAUUUAGACUCCUUCAACAUUUCACACAUUAUCACAGUUUAUUUGCUAUAGUUUAGAAAAUGGUAAUAAAAUAUGACAAGAACAAAGUGUCUGAAUAAUUUUGGUCCCAAAUUUUUAUCAGUUUUACCGGUAGUCCACUGUUUGAAGAAUUUUUGAGUAUAACAUGUCACAGUUUACUUUAUUUUGCUAUCCUCACUUAUAUUAAUGAACUGUAGUAUCCUGCACCCACUAAUACAAUAAUAAUAAUAAUAAUAAUAAUAAUAAUAAUUAUUAUUAUUAUUAUUAUUAUUAUUAUUAUUAUUAUUAUUUCUGGUGUCUGAAUAUUUUUUUGAAAAUAUUUAAAUGUUUUAUUAUUUAGAAGUUUUAUGUGUGUU